AUCCAGCUGACAAGUCCCAAACAGGACGGAACGGGUGUCCUGGAU
RNAcentral lists this non-coding RNA (45 nucleotides) under Schistosoma haematobium. The record is from RNAcentral. Lineage: Eukaryota; Metazoa; Platyhelminthes; Trematoda; Strigeidida; Schistosomatidae.